This is a transfer RNA of Algibacter lectus, 85 nucleotides long. It matches the Rfam family "tRNA". Rfam says of the family: Transfer RNA (tRNA) molecules are approximately 80 nucleotides in length. Their secondary structure includes four short double-helical elements and three loops (D, anti-codon, and T loops). NCBI's taxonomy places the organism in Bacteria, Pseudomonadati, Bacteroidota, Flavobacteriia, Flavobacteriales, Flavobacteriaceae. The record is from Rfam.
GGAAGUAUUGAGCAAUUGGUUGGCUCGCGAGACUGUAACUCUCGUUUCUUAAAUGAACAUGUAGGUUCGAGUCCUACUACUUCCA